Molecule: ribosomal RNA, 497 nt
Filed under: uncultured bacterium
Lineage: Bacteria
Description: partial 16S ribosomal RNA
Rfam family: Bacterial small subunit ribosomal RNA
Source: RNAcentral
GAUGAACGCUGGCGGCGUGCCUAAUACAUGCAAGUCGAGCGAACGGACGAGAAGCUUGCUUCUCUGAUGUUAGCGGCGGACGGGUGAGUAACACGUGGAUAACCUACCUAUAAGACUGGGAUAACUUCGGGAAACCGGAGCUAAUACCGGAUAAUAUUUUGAACCGCAUGGUUCAAAAGUGAAAGACGGUCUUGCUGUCACUUAUAGAUGGAUCCGCGCUGCAUUAGCUAGUUGGUAAGGUAACGGCUUACCAAGGCAACGAUGCAUAGCCGACCUGAGAGGGUGAUCGGCCACACGGGCACUGAGACACGGUCCAGACUCCUACGGGAGGCAGCAGUAGGGAAUCUUCCGCAAUGGGCGAAAGCCUGACGGAGCAACGCCGCGUGAGUGAUGAAGGUCUUCGGAUCGUAAAACUCUGUUAUUAGGGAAGAACAUAUGUGUAAGUAACUGUGCACAGCUUGACGGUACCUAAUCAGAAAGCCACGGCUAACUACGUG